GUUUCAACGGCAGUCAACUCCGUGAUUCUCCAGUCAAUCAAAGAACACAAUUUUAAAAACAUGGUAUGCAGUUUAUCUAAAGUAGCACAAACAUUUACUCACUCUCCUCCUUCACAAUCAGGUACCCUCUCUAGAUCAGGAUAAUUUGGAAGCGAGCUAUUACGGAACUUAUGGGUUAUUCUUUUCUAAUUCAUUUAAGCUUUAUUGUCUAAACGUCCGGAGUUAUGCUUGCAUGACUUUCGGUUAGAUGAUAAACUUUCUUGAAAGAAAGAAAUCCCGGAUGCGGUUUAUUGUAUUUCGAUACAAUUCAUCUACGAAUAUGUAGACUUUACAAAAAAAAAUAAAAAAAAUCUGGUAUUAAACUUGAUUACAUCA
Molecule: long non-coding RNA, 375 nt
Organism: Daucus carota subsp. sativus
Lineage: Eukaryota; Viridiplantae; Streptophyta; Magnoliopsida; Apiales; Apiaceae
Exons: 2
Source: RefSeq, a predicted model, not a curated record